Long non-coding RNA from Oryza sativa Japonica Group (Japanese rice), 1260 nucleotides. RefSeq lists it as uncharacterized. The record is from RefSeq and is a predicted model, not a curated record. Lineage: Eukaryota; Viridiplantae; Streptophyta; Magnoliopsida; Poales; Poaceae.
GGCUCUCACCCCAUAUCCCCCCGUUAGCUCUCCGCCUCUCCCCCCCUAAAAAUCCCAAAUCACCCGUCACCGGCGGCCACGACCGCACCCGGCGAGCAAGGUGUACAUGUUCCGGCCAUUGAUCUUGGCUGCGUGAAACUGAGAUGCUCAGCACGAGCACACCAGCCGCUGGCCGCCGGGCGAUAUGCAGGAUCUGGGAUGGGAGGCACAAGCUCCGGCAGCGCCCGGUGUUGGAUCCAACCAAACAGCGGGCGAAGCGCCGCCGAAGCUGUCUGUCCGAUCUACUCGCGAUUUUUUAGCGCAUCCGACGGAGACCGCGCCUUCCUUCAUCACGAUUUUAGCCUUGUGACACAGGGCAACAAAAUCCUACUUUAAAGAGUGAUGGCUGAAACGAACAGCCCUGCAACCAUGGAAGCACAAGCACAGGUUGCCUUGACGAAAUCCAUCCAACCAGACACCAGCAACGAGGAAAUGACAUCAGGCAAUGUUGCCGGUAACAAUGUUUUACUGCCAUUAUCCAACAGAACUGAAGCUCCUACUCCGAGGCAUGUGAUUGUCACUAUUUCGCUCGAUGCUGGCCAGAACACAAUGGUUGACGACAAUGGUGUUAGACAGGGAUUAACAGACGAGGAAUCCGAUACUAAAACGAAGCUGUUGGAAAGAGGUGUUCUCACGGCUGCCUCUGCUACUGCAGCAAUGCUCUCUCAUUUCCUGAAAGGAGUAUUCAAUCAUCACCAAGAGGGUUACUACAUCAUCCUCGUCGUAUUUCUUAUGACGGGGUUGAUUCUGGCAACCACUGCCACAUGGCUCGCCCGUAGGCACUCCGCCAAGGUGGUUGUCCUUCUUGCACUAGUCCCACAGGUUCUUGUGGCUGGUGUGAUUACCUCAACAUUUUCUUGACGAAGGCCUUCGCCCUGACUCUUGCGGUUUGUUCCACUUUGAACUUUGGAAUCAUCAUCGUGAGCCAAGUGCGGAUCCAGAAUUCUAAUAGAGGGAGAGCUUAUAUCCUCCUCCCCACGCACACACGCUCUUCCUUCUCUCUCUUCUUCCUCCUUUAUCAUCUUCUCUCAAUAAUGAUCUAGCGAGGUAGAAGAAGACUUGAGUGAUGAGUCCCACCAGUAUCCACGUUGGAUCUGUUCCUGUUGUGAGUGUAUAGCUACAUCUACAAGGGUCGAGAGUUACAAUUAUGCAUGUGUAUCUAUGUGUUGAUGAAAAAUAUAUAUUUUUGAGAAAUGAAAUAUUUUCUUUUCAAGGCAUUAU